UAUUAUGAGAGUUUGAUCCUGGCUCAGGACGAACGCUGGCGGCGUGCCUAAUACAUGCAAGUCGAACGCUUCUUUCCUCCCGAGUGCUUGCACUCAAUUGGAAAGAGGAGUGGCGGACGGGUGAGUAACACGUGGGUAACCUACCCAUCAGAGGGGGAUAACACUUGGAAACAGGUGCUAAUACCGCAUAACAGUUUAUGCCGCAUGGCAUAAGAGUGAAAGGCGCUUUCGGGUGUCGCUGAUGGAUGGACCCGCGGUGCAUUAGCUAGUUGGUGAGGUAACG
RNAcentral lists this ribosomal RNA (283 nucleotides) under Enterococcus faecalis. RNAcentral's name for it is "partial 16S ribosomal RNA". It matches the Rfam family "Bacterial small subunit ribosomal RNA", at positions 1 to 262 of the family's 1533-position model. Lineage: Bacteria; Bacillati; Bacillota; Bacilli; Lactobacillales; Enterococcaceae. The record is from RNAcentral.